Molecule: ribosomal RNA, 253 nt
Filed under: uncultured bacterium
Lineage: Bacteria
Description: partial 16S ribosomal RNA
Rfam family: Bacterial small subunit ribosomal RNA
Source: RNAcentral
UACAGAGGGGGCAAGCGUUGUUCGGAAUUACUGGGCGUAAAGGGCGCGUAGGCGGCCCGCUAAGUCGAACGUGAAAUCCCCGAGCUCAACUCGGGAACUGCGUCCGAUACUGGUGGGCUUGAAUCCGGGAGAGGGAUGCGGAAUUCCAGGUGUAGCGGUGAAAUGCGUAGAUAUGUGGAGGAACACCGAUGGCGAAGGCAGCCUUCUGGGCCAACACUGACGCUCAUGCACGAAAGCGUGGGGAGCAAACAGG